Molecule: ribosomal RNA, 876 nt
Filed under: Triticum aestivum (bread wheat)
Lineage: Eukaryota; Viridiplantae; Streptophyta; Magnoliopsida; Poales; Poaceae
Description: partial small subunit ribosomal RNA
Source: RNAcentral
AUGUCUUCUUCAUCGUCGUUCGAGAAUCCAAGGAAGGUGGUGAAGAAGGUGAUGUCGCUAUCCCAAGCCGAGGGGGACGGCGCCACCGUCCGCCGGAGCAUCGGCGGGCACGAGCUCCGGAACCUGGACCCGUUCCUCCUGCUCGACGAGUUCUCCGUCUCCAAGCCCGGCGGCUUCCCCGACCACCCGCACCGGGGCUUCGAGACCGUCACCUACAUGCUCCACGGGGCCUUCACCCACCAGGACUUCACAGGGCACAAGGGCACCAUCAGGACAGGAGAUGUGCAGUGGAUGACGGCUGGCCGCGGCAUCGUGCACUCGGAGAUGCCGGCAUCCAACGGCGUGCAGAAGGGCCUGCAGCUCUGGAUCAACCUCGCCUCCAAGGACAAGAUGAUCGAGCCACGGUACCAGGAGCUCAAGAGCAAGGACAUCAGCCAGGCCGAGAAGCAUGGUGUGAAGGUGCGGAUCAUCGCAGGGGAGGCCUUCGGGGUGCGGUCACCAGUCUACGCACGGACACCAACCAUGUACAUGGCCUUCACAAUGCAACCAGGGUCGCAGCUCCACCAGCCGAUCCCCGAGGGUUGGAACGCUUUCGUGUACAUCAUUGAGGGGGAGGGUGUAUUUGGCAGGGAGGGCGUUGCGCCGGCGAGUGCGCACCAUUGCCUCGUGCUUGGCGCCGGUGACGGGCUCAGCGUGUGGAACCGGUCUGGUGCGCAACUACGGUUCGUGCUGGCAGCAGGGCAGCCGUUGAACGAGCCAGUGGUGCAGCAGGGGCUCUUCGUCAUGAACUCUCGUGCCCAGAUCCAGCAGGCCAUGCAGGACUAUUACUACGGACACAACGGCUUCGAGAAGGCCAGCCAGUGGAGCUCCGCGUGA